GAUCAUGGCUCAGGAUGAACGCUAGCGACAGGCCUAACACAUGCAAGUCGAGGGGCAGCGGAGAGGUAGCAAUACCUUUGCCGGCGACCGGGCGCACGGGUGAGUAACACGUAUGCAAUCCACCUGUAACAGGGGGAUAACCCGGAGAAAUCCGGGACUAAUACCCCAUAAUAUGGGCUCUCCGCAUGGAGGGUCCAUUAAAGAGAGCAAUUUUGGUUACAGGAACGAGCAUGCGCUCC
Molecule: ribosomal RNA, 239 nt
Filed under: uncultured bacterium
Lineage: Bacteria
Description: partial 16S ribosomal RNA
Rfam family: Bacterial small subunit ribosomal RNA
Source: RNAcentral